CGCGUAGGUGGUAGUGUAAGUCUGGGGUGGAAUCCCAGGGCUUAACCCUGGAACUGCCUUGGAAACUGCAUUACUUGAGUCAGUGAGGGGAGGGUAGAAUUCCUGGUGUAGCGGUGAAAUGCGUAGAUAUCAGGAGGAAGGCCUGUGGCGAAGGCGGCCCUCUGGCGCUGGACUGACACUGAGGCGCGAAAGCGUGGGGAGCAAACAGGAUUAGAUACCCUGGUAGUCCACGCCCUAAACGGUGGGCACUAGGUGUAGGGCUCGUAAGGGUUCUGUGCCGAAGGGAAACCAUUAAGUGCCCCGCCUGGGGAGUAUGGCUCGCAAGGGUGAA
RNAcentral lists this ribosomal RNA (331 nucleotides) under uncultured bacterium. Its description in RNAcentral is "bacterial SSU rRNA". It matches the Rfam family "Bacterial small subunit ribosomal RNA", at positions 568 to 898 of the family's 1533-position model. The record is from RNAcentral.